UGCUGUUGAUAUGCAAACAGUGAUCAAUAUGAUGAAUGACAAUCCGUACAUUCAGGAAAUCAUACACAUGAAAGGUAAACCUCCCAUGGUUAUUUUAUACACAGAUGACCAAUUGAAAGAUGUGAAAAACUUUUGCAUUGGCCAUGAGAGUAAAUCGAUUCUUGGACGGACCUUUUAACGUUGGAGCGUGUUUUGUAACAUUGACUGUUUUUAAAAACACCCAUUUAUUGCAACGAUCAUCUCAAUCACCACCAAUAAUGUUAGGCCCUGUGUUCUUUCAUUGGGAUGGAAGUUGUUCUACAUAUCAAUGUUUCUUCUCCCACAUAUGAACAAAAUUGGACACCAAUAUUAACACUGAGAUUGGUCUUUGUGACAUUGUUGUUGGUUCAGAUGAGGAAAAAGCUAUCCUGAAG
This is a non-coding RNA of Paramuricea clavata, 413 nucleotides long. The record is from the annotation of a GenBank genome assembly. Lineage: Eukaryota; Metazoa; Cnidaria; Anthozoa; Malacalcyonacea; Plexauridae.